RNAcentral lists this long non-coding RNA (269 nucleotides) under Musa acuminata (dwarf banana). RNAcentral's name for it is "long non-coding RNA (MACU_LNC004201)". Lineage: Eukaryota; Viridiplantae; Streptophyta; Magnoliopsida; Zingiberales; Musaceae. The record is from RNAcentral.
GGUUCAGCGGAUCGCUCGGGAGGCAUUCGCAAGGUUGAAGGGGCGGUGGACUUGUUUACAGAAGCGAACAGAAGUAAAACUGCAGGAUUUGCCUGUGGUUAUUGGCGCUUGCUGUGUGCUGCAUAACAUCUGUGAGCUAAGGAAGGAGGAGAUGGAGCCGGAUCUCAAGUACGAACUGGUGGACGAUGAGAUGGUGCCUGAGAACAGCAUACGGUCGGUGAGUGCAUCACAGGCCAGGGACAAUAUUGCUCAUAAUUUGCUACAUCAUG